ACUACGUUUUAUCAGUACAAAUAGCAUGAAGCAAAAAGUACACGUCUAUUUAAAUAAUAAGAAUAAUCUUAGAUGAGAGGAACCGGUUUCAGAAAUAGUAAUGUAAAUUGACAUUAAACCUACACAAGGUCACAUACAGAAAACAGACACCCCAGUAUAGAAUGUAGCUAAAAAGUUCCAUUAGCAAAGAGGAGGUACAUUUUGAAGCGAGCACUGAGGAAUAUCUUAUGGGAAGCUAACUAUCAUUGAGAUGCUCAAGAAUGUAGUACACGUCUGUUUAAAUAGAAACCAAUAAUAGUUUCUCAUUUGUUCCGCUUCACUUUUAAAAAUCAUAAAAUUGCAGUUAUAUCCAAAACCUGAGUGGCUAGCGGGCAGCUAAGUUCAUGCCCAGAGUUCCGUUUUACUAUCCACAAGUAGAAGAUGUAAGGAGUUUAACAAGAGCUUCUUGUGAAUCAAGAUUGGAUGACAGUGUGUAUGCAUGUAUUGGUUAAGAAGAUUGGCUAACAGUAUACUAGUCUUUAUGUUAUUGGCUGCAAGACUGCGACGACCUAGCAACAUGGAGAUUUAUUCUUUUAGCCACAAAUUCUCUGCCCCGACCAUAUGUUCUAUCAAUUUCAAGGGCUAUUUUGCUGAAAAUAGUAUAUCCAGCUUCCUCAGGACCAAAGUUAGUUCUUUCUGACCCACAGAAAUGUCGAACUUAAGUAUGCAUUUUGUCUGCCUUAUAGCAAAUAAAGCAUGAAAUUAUUUGCUGCAGUUCAAAUGCCAGUUAUCAGCCCACAUCUUAUAUCAAACCUGUCAACAACACCCUACUUCAACAGCAGCAGCAUUAGAACAAAAUUAACAAUGAGUAAAGGUCAGAUUGAAACCAGCAGGCCAUGAUCUUGAAGUAGUUUCUUAUAAUCACUUCCAUUUCUGACAGAACAGGUCUUAUCCCGUUAUUCUUCCAAUGGAACAAAUCACCAAAAUACUCCUUACAUAGACCAGAAAUUCUGUUUAAACCACUCAUGGCAUGCCAUUCCUCGAAGAACCGAAGAAUAGAAGAGGAUGUUUGAGAUUGUGAGCCAUGACAAGAAGGUACAUAUUUUUUUAUAAGGACAACAGAAAAGGUCAAAACUACCCCUAUCAUUUGGUAAAUGGUUUAAAAUUACCCUCCGUCCAACUUUUGGUCAAUAAACACACAAUGCUAUCUUUGGGCUUAAAUUUACCCCUCCUGUGAGGGCUCCAUUUUAAAACAUUGGCUGUGCUUUUGAUAUUGUGCCGUUAGCGGGAGGGGUAAAUUUAAGCCCGAAAAUAAUGUUCUGUGUGUUUAUGGACCAAAAGGUGGACGGAGGGUAAUUUUAAACCAUUUACAAAACGAUAGGGGUAGUUUUGACUAUUUUCCGUAAGGACAAUAAGGGUAUAUAUUUAGAGACGUCAUAUAUUGACUAGGCAGGUUUGUAAGGUUUGAAAGGCCUGCAAUUGGGUUCUUUAACUUAAAGAAGGUUGAUAUCAAUCUAUAUGGGUAUUAGGAUUACACACACAUUAUGGUCCGGAACAUAUAUACAUUUUCCUCAAGCUUCUUAAUUUCUUAAUGACCAAAACCAAAGAACAACUCGUAUAUCUGUUGCUACUUUUGUCAGAAAGAGAUGAAGAAUAAAUAUAGUUACCACACAUAGACUUCUUCACAAAGAUACUUCAGGUUUAUGAACCCUCUGAGAAAAUAGUGAAACACAGAGAAGCAAUUCUCGAAUGCUGGGUAUGAGCUAAUUGAAGGGAGAAAAAAUUCCAAGAAAAAGAAAAGAAAAAAAAUAAGAAAAAAAGGGAUCCCCCCCCAAACCCCUCAAAGAAAAUGAAAUUGAAAUACUCCAUUCCCUUCUAAUACAUAAAGCUUGUAUUCUUAACACUGAACCCUCUUUGUUUACCCAUACUGUAUAUGAUAUUAACGAUGCAGCUGUUCAAUUAAUAAGACAUGGAUUCAAUAAUAAGUUGUUUUAUCUAAGACGAGUAAUGCAAGGAGGCAAACCUUAGAGAUUGGUGUAUCAUCAACCUUUGGUUGCAUGCCAAUGGAGGUGGUAUUUGCAAGAAUCAUAUCAUUUUCUGGAUGGAAAUUGCUAAGCUCGUCAAGAGAUAAAGCCUGACCUCCAACUACAUCAGCAAGUUCUCUCGCUCGUUCUUCAAGUAAUCAGAUAGCACAUAAAUACAAAGUAACAUAGUCAACCUCCAAAUCAAUACCAGAGUAAAGGGACUGAGCAAUGAUAAUAAGAACUUCAGCAAUUGACAUUAGCUACACAGAAUUUCACUACCAUAGGUACGGUUAGCAAUCACCACCCGAGCCCCCUUUUCCUUUGCACCAUAAGCUAGUGCCUUGCCAGCGCCACCAGCACCAAUGACCACAAAUAAUUUACCAGCUAAGGGAGACCCAGACAUACUAGGCUGUGAGCCUGUACAAGGAAAUAACAAAGCUCAAACACUAAGAAGCUCUAACUUCGGAAAAGGAUGUUUGUUUGCAGCUGAUAAAAUGGUUCUGACCUUGCAAUGCUUCUUCAAUGGCGGAGAUUGCACCCACAUAGUCUGUAUUGCAACCAAACAACUUCCCAUCAGGUCGCCUUACGACACAAUUGACAGCCCCUAUUAACUGCAGAAUAAUUAAGAAGCCAAGUAAUUGCAUGUGAUAUAACAAAUCAUCAGAAUAUUUUGCAAUAUUGAUCCCUGUAAAAAUACAAAACUAACUGCAGAAUAAUUGAGAAACCAAGUAAUUGCAUGUGAUAUGACAAAUCAUCAGAAUAUUUUGUAAUAUUAAUCCCUGUAAAAAUACAAAACAAAUAAAAGAAACAACAGCUGAAAGGCAUUACAAAAUCAUGUUAUAACUAAUACCUUAGCGAUAGGAUCAACUUCAUCACAGCAGUCGACAAUGGCUUCCUUGUGAGGAAUUGUACAGCUGCACAACAUUAAGUUGCAUAACUACUUCUAAACAUGUAUAUGAAUUAUAUUUAUUAGGCACGGCCAACACACACACAAAUUUGGAAAAACAGAAGAAGGAUGACCUACAGAAAAAACAAAUAAACAGAAAGAAAAACAUAAAAGAAAAAUCCAGUACAUUCAACCCCAUGAGAUAUGGUAUAUACAUGUACAUGUGCAUGAUACUUUCUAAGCUGUGAGAAAGGGGUGAUUUGGCGUGACUACCCUGAUGAAAUUAAAAGACAUCUAUGUAAAAUACCAGUUUCUGUUUUGAGAGCAAACCUGAAGCCAGCAAAAUCUAAAGAUGAGUAAGUCCGAAAGAAAUUUGCAACAUCAUCAACCAGCAAAGGCAAAUAAACACCAUUAAACCCAACUGAUCUGAAAGCUUCAUUAUACAAUAAAGGUGAUUUGCUAUGGCUAACAGGCUUCCCGAUAAUGCCAAAUAUUCUGGUAUCUGGUCCCAACUGUCUGAAAUUGUAUAUAUUCAAAAGAUCUUUAAUUGUUGGUUGCCCAGGAGCCGAAACCUUUCCCACUUCAAGAGUACCAAAUGUGAGGUAUCCACCGAAUUUUGGACAAAGUAUUCGUGACAUCAAACCCCUUUCUCCCAUGACCAUGGCUAUUAUUGGUACCUAUUUGAACAAAGUGCAAAAAAUGCUUUAACGUUUAAUCAUGAGAAGCAUCUCAGAAUGCAAGCAAGCUCAUAGUCAAGCAGCAAACUCAAAAGAAAGCCAGAGGCUCAAGGAGAUGGAGGACAAAUAUAUUAUGCAUAACAAAACCUAAAUAACAAAAAAAUACAUUUCUGCACUUAUGCAUGUGAAUAAUAUUAUAGUGGGAGCAGGAAAAAAGACGAACUUCAACCAUGAAGAGGACCAGCUUAUGAUUGGAGAAACUAAUGUAUGCUAAUUUCAUUCUUACAUUCCAAAAUAUGGAAAAACAAAGGAGGUCCACCUUGUAUUUCAAAUCUAAGCUUUUCAAUGUUAUUUAGUUCUGAACUAGAUCCCACUUUAUCCAUUUCGGGGUAAAAGACGACUAGCUUGCCACCACAAUAUCAUUCAAAUGAAAAACAUACACUAUGAAUUGCUAAACCAAGCCUUGAAGCUGGACAGUGAUUGCACCCAUUCACGAUGAGUUACACAACUUUUUUACCUUUUCAAUAACGGUGGUGAUCGGGCCAACUUGUUCGGACCUCGACUAUUCCACCGGGUAUGUACUACCUCCCACUAGCACAAGUACCGAGUAACUUUGUCCACCUCCACCAAGGCUAAGACAAAUGGCUAGAAAUCUAGAAUUUUUGGUGACCGCUGGGGAUUUGAACCUUGGUCUCUAAGGUAUGUACACACUUCAUUGGCCACGAGGCCACACCUCUGGGUGCAUGAUGAUUUACACAAUGUGUAAUACUAACAAUCAUUUUUAACCUAUUUUCAUGUCCAUAUCUUUUAUAGAUCCAGGCUCAAAAUCCAGGAACUUUAAAAAAUGAUAUAAAGAUAUCUUUAUAUCUUUACGGGACGGUUAGCUUCCUGGAGUGUGCAUACAAUAUUUGAACCUAGGUUCAUGUAAUUUUCUGCACCAAAUUGGAGGGUGGACUACUGGUCCCUGCACUUUUUUCCUCGUGGCUUAUCUAAAGGAUAACUUCUUGUCCAAUCCAUAAGGAAAAACAACCCCUUGAACGUAGCCUCUUGACAAUGCAUAAAUCCUUUUACCCCUUUUGCUUUAUUGGCAUCCCAACUCUGCCCCUCCCAAAAAAAAAAAAAAAAAAANNNNNNNNNNNNNNNNNNNNNNNNNNNNNNNNNNNNNNNNNNNNNNNNNNNNNNNNNNNNNNNNNNCCCCCCCCAAAAAAAAAAAAAAAAAGCUCCAGACGAUGAAUAAAUGUUUCCUUUAACCCUUUCUCGUCUACCAAGCGCCUACCCUCUAGUGCCCCAUCCAGUAACCCCUUCCUCCAAGUCAAUUUUCCUUUAUGCCUGGCUAAUUUGCAAAAUGGACCAUCAUCCACAAUCAAUGGUCAUCCUCCCCUCUUAUACCCCACUUCCAACUUCCGUGGUCCAAAACAUAUUAAUGGAAUAUUUUGUAAAUUAAAUAGAAUUCUUUUCAAAUGAGGGGAUUAUGUUUAUAUUCAAUAGAACAUACAAGGUUGAGAGUCUCAGGCUCAAGAUAUUAAGUCCCUAGAGCGGUCCAUCCUAUUGGUCUCACCAAAUAAGAAUCCUUCAGCCUUCACUAGAAUCCAACGAUGUUAUAAUCUAUCAUCCACAAAUCACCUUAUUUCAGCCCAACAACAUAUAAACAACCUCAUCACUUGACAUACCGAAAGGCCCCUUAACUGACAAGUGAUAUCAGAUGUCAUUCACUUGAGAAAAUGUCUCAAAGGCAUAGAUACAUACAAUAAUAUUGAUUCCACUAUCUACCUUUGAGUUCUUCUUGCAAUGGAAAAAAUCAUCAGAUAACUAAGACAAUUCAUAAACCCCCACCUUUUUCAGGGAGAGAGAGGGAGAAGGAAAGAGACAGUUGAUUGUGGAAGCUAUUCUCAAUGUCUUUGUCCCUCUCAUUGCCCUUAACAUAUAUCUAGGUUAUUAAUGUAAACCCGGUCAGACGUUUAUCAAACUAUACCUAACUUAUUGGUGUGUAUGGCCUAAUACAAAUCUACAAGAGGCAACCAGCUUCUAGAUUCAAACUAGCACCAAAUCCAGCUCAGGAGAAACCAUGAUUUAUCACCAAACAAAUUUGAAAGCAAGUUAUGGCUUGAACAACUUGCUGUACUACUUACGCCGCUUACUUGAAAAUGUACAGUAAUUUGGAAUACACGUGCAACAUCGGUGAUAUCCAGUGCAGUUGUUGCAAACUUCACAAUGUCAGCUCCGGAUGCCUGUAUUCUUGCUACUAGAUCGCCAAGCACCUCAGAUGAUGGUGUAUUAUCAUAGUUGUGAGAAGAAACAAUAACUUUGCAUUUUGCUGAUUUAUUUCCAUGUAGAACAGUAUUGAACUCGUCAAUAGCCUAAAGAAGUGGGAGAAAAAGAAACAAAAAGCAUAAGGAAAGCAGCAAUUAUUAUUUAUUGAUCAAGUGUCCGUCAAAGCAAAAAGGAAGAAGCAAUGACGACUAAAAAUACAAAGAAUGUCGACUGAAAGCUAAGCAAAGGUUUAGAUAUAUUUAACAUUUAUAUGUAAUAACCAACAGGAAGUGAUCCUUAGUUUGCAAAAUUGAUCAAUGUUCCUUCAUGCAAGAUGCAUCACAGGCCAUACAUUUCAACAGUCACAUUCAAAGUCUCAAUACAAAGCUGUACACCUAUUAAGAUGCUUUAAAAUUUCUAGUAUUUAAGUCAAGUUUCUGGAGAUAUGAACCAAGGUAACCAGAUUGAUUGGCCUUACAUUCUCAUUCUUAUGCUUUAACUGAACUCACAUUUGUGGACAAUUAGCAGCAGCUACACAGGGAAAUGCCAUCAUUUUAUAUUUUAUUUUAUUUUCUGGGAUAAGGUGGGAAGGGCCAUUUUUGUUUUAGAAUCAAUACCUUUAGCUCAACAUCAAUGUAAUCAGCUCCCAACUCCAUUGCUAAUCGAAGUGCAUCCAGUCGACUCGCUUCAUCACCAGCAUACUGACCCCCUUCCCAAGUGGGCCUAGAAACGUGGGCAACAUAUUUAGAAUGCACUUUUCAAUGUCUAGAAGUAAUAGAAACAUUAUUUGAAAUGAAAUAAGAGGAGAACUUUAAAUCCGGAAGUAGAGCUAUAAUUAUAAACAUAAAUUGUCAUUAUAUGUCCCUUCUCCGGACCCAACAUAUAGCGAGAGCUUAGAGCGUCGGACUG
This 6725-nucleotide long non-coding RNA is filed under the name Nicotiana benthamiana. RNAcentral describes it as "long non-coding RNA (NBEN_LNC018600)". Lineage: Eukaryota; Viridiplantae; Streptophyta; Magnoliopsida; Solanales; Solanaceae. The record is from RNAcentral.